GCGCAGGCGCAGACGGCCUUCCGACACGUGGUCGCCGUCCUGGGCUGUUGCUCGGCUCUGGCGGUUAGGCUUUUUCCUGCUUGUGGUUGACUGGCAGCGUGGGCGAGCUCCGCGCCUGCUACCCUGGCGUUACUUCCCGACUCCGCCUGUCGUAUCUAUGGCUAGCAUGACAGAUGAGAAAACAGAAGCUCCAAGAGGCCCAGAUCACAUAGCUAGAAAGUAGCAGAGUCAAGAGAUGCGGAAACUGAGGCCAAGACAGAGAUUGAUCCAAGGUCACAGAGGCAGCAAAUGCUGAACUUGUCCUCUCUGACUCCAAAACCAGGAAGUCCGCCUUUCGCCUUGGUCGUGGUGGUGGGCAGUGGGUGAGGGUGGGGUGAGGGCAGGGGAGGAAGUGAUUCACUUGGCUGUAUCCAGAUUCAUCCCAGACUUUUUUUUUCUUGUACCCACUGGCAGAACUUCCUCCUUUUCUCUCUCUGCCUCGUUUUCUGAUUCACUCCCCAUCUGUUAUGGUUUCUGAGAAUGUGGGUGCAGAGGGUGGGGUAAGCUGUGGGGAGUGGGAGGGAGAAUGCAGCCAGUCCUUAAUAAACAAAUAUUUUUUAUGCUCUCUAUGUACCAGGCAACGUUCUAGGGGCUGGGAGUCCUGCCGUGAAUAAAACAGACCUUGUCCC
This 668-nucleotide long non-coding RNA is filed under the name Equus asinus (donkey). RNAcentral describes it as "lncRNA (ENSEASG00005038291.1)". The record is from RNAcentral. Lineage: Eukaryota; Metazoa; Chordata; Mammalia; Perissodactyla; Equidae.